This 385-nucleotide ribosomal RNA is filed under the name uncultured bacterium. RNAcentral's name for it is "bacterial SSU rRNA". It matches the Rfam family "Bacterial small subunit ribosomal RNA", at positions 28 to 412 of the family's 1533-position model. The record is from RNAcentral.
GACGAACGCUGGCGGCGUGCUUAACACAUGCAAGUCGAGCAGUAAGGCCCUUUCGGGGGUACGACGAGCGGCGAACGGGUGAGUAACACGUGGGUGACCUGCCCUCAGCUCUGGGAUAAGCCUGGGAAACCGGGUCUAAUACUGGAUAUGACUCCAUGACGCAUGUUGUGGGGUGGAAAGCCUUGUGCGGCUGAGGAUGGGCCCGCGGCCUAUCAGCUUGUUGGUGGGGUGAUGGCCCACCAAGGCGACGACGGGUAGCCGGCCUGAGAGGGCGACCGGCCACACUGGGACUGAGACACGGCCCAGACUCCUACGGGAGGGCAGCAGUGGGGAAUAUUGCGCAAUGGGCGAAAGCCUGACGCAGCGACGCCGCGUGAGGGACGAA